This 484-nucleotide ribosomal RNA is filed under the name uncultured bacterium. RNAcentral describes it as "partial 16S ribosomal RNA". It matches the Rfam family "Bacterial small subunit ribosomal RNA", at positions 30 to 507 of the family's 1533-position model. The record is from RNAcentral.
AUUGAACGCUGGCGGCAGGCCUAACACAUGCAAGUCGAGCGGAUGAAGGGAGAUUGCUCUUGGAUUCAGCGGCGGACGGGUGAGUAAUGAAUAGGAAUCUGCCCGGCAGUGGGGGAUAACGUCCGGAAACGGGAGCUAAUAUCGCAUACGUCCAGAGGGAGAAACUGGGGGAUCAUCGGUCCUAACGCUAUCAGAUGAGACUAGGUCGGAUUAGCUAGUUGGUGGGGUAAAGGCCUACCAAGGCGACGAUCCGAAACUGGUCUGAGAGGAUGAUCAGUCACACUGGAACUGAGACACGGUCCAGACUCCUACGGGAGGCAGCAGUGGGGAAUAUUGGGCAAUGGGCGAAAGCCUGAUCCAGCCAUGCCGCGUGUGUGAAGAAGGUCUUCGGAUUGUAAAGCACUUUUAGUUGGGAGGAAGAGCAGUAAGUUAAUACCUUGCUGUUUUGACGGUACCUACAGAAUAAGCACCGGCUAACUUCGUG